Molecule: ribosomal RNA, 359 nt
Filed under: uncultured bacterium
Lineage: Bacteria
Description: bacterial SSU rRNA
Rfam family: Bacterial small subunit ribosomal RNA
Source: RNAcentral
AACGAACGCUGGCGGCAUGCCUAACACAUGCAAGUCGAACGAGACCUUCGGGUCUAGUGGCGCACGGGUGCGUAACGCGUGGGAAUCUGCCCUUAGGUUCGGAAUAACUCAGGGAAACUUGAGCUAAUACCGGAUAAUGACGUAAGUCCAAAGAUUUAUCGCCUAGGGAUGAGCCCGCGUAGGAUUAGCUUGUUGGGUGGGGUAAAAGCCUACCAAGGCGACGAUCCUUAGCUGGUCNGAGAGGAUGAUCAGCCACACUGGGACUGAGACACGGCCCAGACUCCUACGGGAGGCAGCAGUGGGGAAUAUUGGACAAUGGGCGAAAGCCUGAUCCAGCAAUGCCGCGUGAGUGAUGAAGG